UUUCAGCAUCUUAAGUUGCCACGGACGAUUCGUCGUGGAUGAGCCCGAUUGCCGCGGUCAAUUCGAUCCGUAACCCGAUGAACAAUCGCAACAAAGCUUGCUUGCAAGGGGCCGGUGACCGUCGUUGCCACGGCUCGAAUACCUCCUUUUAGACCUAUGGAAAUCGGAGGCCCGCGGCCGCCCCGGCGGCCAUUAGCACGCGACGUAGGGCCCCAUGCGCUUUAUAGUGAGUCGGAUUACCAUGCACGGGCCCUGGUUUUACACUGAGAGGACGACCAGCCACACUGGAACUGAGACACGGUCCAGACUCCUACGGGAGGCAGCAGUGGGGAAUUUUGGACAAUGGGCGCAAGCCUGAUCCAGCAAUGCCGUGUGCAGGAUGAAGGCCUUGCGGUUGUAAACUGCUUUUGUACGGAACGAAACGGUUCUUUCUAAUACAGAGAGCUAAUGACGGUACCGUAAGAAUAAGCACCGGUUACUCCUGCCACAGCCGUGGGAUCUUAUGGGUGCGACGUUAAU
RNAcentral lists this ribosomal RNA (519 nucleotides) under uncultured Antarctic soil bacterium. RNAcentral describes it as "bacterial SSU rRNA". The stretch from base 183 to 510 matches the Rfam family "Bacterial small subunit ribosomal RNA", at positions 39 to 535 of the family's 1533-position model. The record is from RNAcentral.